Long non-coding RNA from Meleagris gallopavo (turkey), 1679 nucleotides. RefSeq lists it as uncharacterized. NCBI's taxonomy places the organism in Eukaryota, Metazoa, Chordata, Aves, Galliformes, Phasianidae. The record is from RefSeq and is a predicted model, not a curated record.
AGUGACCAGAGUGUUAAGACCUUUUGUUAUUCUAGCCAAGUUAACCCCAAAAACAUUGCUGAGAACAGAGAACAUUUAAAAAUGCUGUUAGGCAUGAGAGCAUGAGUUAAGUGGGGAGCAGCACAGAAGUUGGGACUCAGCCAGCAUGAAUGAGAGCUAGCAAAUUCUGCAACAGAGAACUGGUCUGAUUAAACCAGAGCAAGAACAAGUCACAUCCAAAAGAAAUUCCUUUAAAAGGCAAAAAUUAACCACCCUGGAAAAACAACGAGAGAGGAAUUGUGGAUGAAAGAAGACUGCUCUCUCACCAAUUUUCCAUUGCCAUUCUCCAUACUGGAGCAUCGCUUUGUUCAGCAGGCAUGUUGCCUUCCCUAUCUCUGUCUUCUAGAGGCAUCGCCACAGUUUGUUGCUAUUUACCUCAGCUACUCAACCUCUGUAGGUACCCCUCCCUUCAUUUCAGGGAGGUAGGACUUGGAGAUCUACAUCUUUUGGCCUCAAAGUUGUUAUUUGUAGCUGUCAGUUAGAUAACAGAAACGGAAAUCUAUAUAACCAAUGCUCUCCCCCUUCCCAGACCCAUCACUGUCACUCACUUCUUUUGACUUUUAUUCAACUUAAUCACUAGUUAUUUUAUUUCUCCUAUCUUAUAUAAGAAUCCUGUGUAGCCAUGUUAUGGCUGCAUCGCAAACAUGCUCUCCAGCCCCUCCAUAACCUUACAAUAAUCCCAGCAAAUAAAAUCCUGAUAACUCCAGGAAUUACUCUGAUUUCUGCCCUCCUAAACCAUCCUUACGCACAUCGUACUGCAGACAAGGGAUGUUGUAACUUGCAACAACAGCUAGACAUGGAACCAGCCUGAAACCCUGGGAAGUUGCUCUUUUGUCCUGCCCAGAGCCGCUAAUGCAUGUGCACUGACUCCUAUCUCUGCCUUGCAGCACUACCAUUUCUUUGCAUGUCUGUCAGAUUCCUUCCAUGUUGCUUUUCCUUUGCUGUGCAAUGUAGCAAGAUGCCAGCUUUCUAUUUUUUGCCCUGUGUGCACUCUGGAUCUAACCUUCCGCUUGAGAUGCUAUCAAGUAUCCAAAUGUGACACAUUUUCAAGGUUGGCCUCAAGGUAGCUAACCAGGGGAGUGAGCUUUUCAAUCACAAUCAGAUACCAAUCAAACAAAAAUAGAUGAGGGCUGACAGUGGGCUUGCAUGAUUAUACUGCUAUUUCCAGCUGCUUCAGGUCAGGAUGUUUUUAUCAACCAAGUCUCCAGCUCAUAUCACCAGUAUGCAAGGGAGGCAGGAGGGGAAGCAAUCAUACAAAAGUGGAAUAUUUUGUGAUUUAUAGCUGAAGGAAAAGAAAGACCAUAGUUAUCCUGACUUAUUAGAUGUAAUUGUGCCCCUAGCAUCAUUGUAAGGCAAAGCAAAUCCCAAAGAUAAAAUCAACCUGGGGGAGGAGUGGGGCCCAACAGCUGUGAGGGCACCAUUUCAAGAAGUGGCUUUCCUUUCUCCUCUUGCACAAACAUGACAUCAAAAUUAUUGUAAAUCUGCAGCUACCCGAACAGCACUCAUUGUGUUCUCGUGCUUAGCACGAAGUUCACUAUUGACUUCAAAGGAAUAGAAAGAUACAGAGAAAUUUUACCUUUAAUUUGCUGUGCUGAUAUAGAUCAGGGAGAUUUGUAGGCUUUGAUCUUCCCUUAUUUAAU